This 425-nucleotide ribosomal RNA is filed under the name uncultured bacterium. RNAcentral's name for it is "bacterial SSU rRNA". It matches the Rfam family "Bacterial small subunit ribosomal RNA", at positions 468 to 883 of the family's 1533-position model. The record is from RNAcentral.
UUAAGCGGUACCUGACUAAGAAGCACCCGGCUAAAUACGUGCCAGCAGCCGCGGUAAUACGUAUGGUGCAAGCGUUAUCCGGAUUUACUGGGUGUAAAGGGAGCGCAGGCGGUGCGGCAAGUCUGAUGUGAAAGCCCGGGGCUCAACCCCGGUACUGCAUUGGAAACUGUCGUACUAGAGUGUCGGAGGGGUAAGCUGGAAUUCCUAGUGUAGCGGUGAAAUGCGUAGAUAUUAGGAGGAACACCAGUGGCGAAGCGGCUUACUGGACGAUAACUGACGUGAGGCUCGAAAGCGUGGGGAGCAAACAGGAUUAGAUACCCUGGUAGUCCACGCCGUAACGAUGAAUACUUAGGUGUUGGGGGAGACUAUUGCUCUUUUCGGCUGCCGCUAGCAAACGCAAUAAGUAUUCCAUCAAUGGGGAGUAC